Molecule: long non-coding RNA, 1558 nt
Filed under: Vulpes vulpes (red fox)
Lineage: Eukaryota; Metazoa; Chordata; Mammalia; Carnivora; Canidae
Description: lncRNA (ENSVVUG00000010943.1)
Source: RNAcentral
AAACUUGCUCCUUAAUUGGAGGAAAGAGCACACUAACUUCCAUGAUCUGAAGGCUUCCUCUUGUGUGCAGAACUCUAUGUCUUGAUUCUCUUUUCUCUCUGUCAGAUUGACUUGAUGACAGAGAAAUGGGUCGUUGAUGCUGCUGUGGAGGCUCUGUUACGGUUUCCUCUGAUGCCAGGAGAGGAUCCAAGUGCCCGCUGUGUCUCCAAUAAGAAAUAUCAGCCGUCAGUUGACCAGCCUCUCACAGCCACUCAAAGACAUGAACACCAAGAGGAGAAGUGGGACAAAUGUCGGGGAGUAAUGGCAUCCCACAAUCCAUCCCUGGGGGAGAAGGACCAGAAGCCCAAGGAUGUGAGGCAGAUGACAGGUCAUUGCAUAUACCAGCAGCCCCCAAAACCCCAUAUGGCUCAGAACCUGAAGAAGCUACAGAGGGGACCCGCAGUACCAAGGAAUCCCUCCCCAAAAGGGGAGGAUGCCAGGGUAAGUGGAAGCUGGAGUGUUUCAAAACCAGAGGAUCUGCAUGGAUCCCAAAGACUGAGCUUACACCCAGAAACCUGAGUGUCUGUAACCCAGGGAUUCCGACUUAUCAGAGACUGGCCUGUUUCUGAUGUCCUAACCUGGGGGAUUGGCCCAUUCAGAUCCUCCAAGGAGCAAACUUAUUCCCUGUUGAGCAUCACGUUCAGCUUGAUGUCUUUGCAAUACUCAAAUCCAAUUUGUAGACAUCCCCUCUAGAUGCUAACUUCCUUCCUCUCAGAUCACUUUCUAUCAAAGGGGUUCUGGAUAGGGCUAUAAUAUUAUGAAUUUCCUGGCCUUGGGCCCUGGGUCUCUGUCCUCUCCCCGCAAACCCAUAUCCAACUCCAAAACAUCUGUCCUGACAUUAACCUCUGACAGCUGCCCCUGAUUUCUGCUGACUCACCGAGCAUUCUCUCCCUCUAUCCACAGGUGAAGUGCAAGAACUGCGGGGCCUUUGGGCACCUGGCCAGCAGCAAAAGGUGCCCUAUGAAGUGUUGGGAUGGGGCCCUUGCCCCCCAGCCCUUGGGCUGCAAUAGGAAUGAAAACCUGGAACCCAGGAGGCUUCAGGACUUCCAGACCCCAGGGUCCUUCCACGGGACUGGCAGCAGGAAAGAGCAAAGGCAGAGGUGAGGACUCAUAGGGUUAGAGCGAUUCUUGGGCAGUGGAGCCCCAGGGCCCAGUGCCCCUGCCUCUACUCUCUAGGCACGGCUGUCUCAGGCACAAACAGGGAAGCUCAGAGAAGUAGGUAGGUGCUCCGUACAGCCUUGGGCUUCACAUCAGGGCUCAUUCCAGUGUGAGGGAGUUUUGAGGAGUGGGGCCAGGAAUGUCUGGGGGUGUUGUGCAUGGCAGGUGGAGAAGCAAUAGAGUCUGAAUGAGAGCUUUUAAGGCUGAAGCCACUGGAGGGAAGGGGAUGCUUCCUGCAAGCAGAGACUGCCUCUGAGGUCAUGGAAUGAGCUGCCUUUGCAAGGUUCACAGGGGUUUCCAUGCUCCUCCCCUGAAAACAAGGGCAAGGACUGGGCUCUGUGAACGUUCUUGUCUCCUAGUC